RNAcentral lists this ribosomal RNA (83 nucleotides) under Bacteroidales bacterium. The record is from RNAcentral. Lineage: Bacteria; Pseudomonadati; Bacteroidota; Bacteroidia; Bacteroidales.
CCUCUUCCCAUUCCGAACAGAGAAGUUAAGCCCGCCAGCGCCGAUGGUACUGCAUAUUGUGGGAGAGUAGGCCGCUGCCGGUA